GUCCCAGUGGCCGAGUGGUUAAGGCGUUGCCCUGCUAUCAGGCAGUGGGUUUUGCCCGCGCAGGUUCGAAUCCUGUCUGUGACG
RNAcentral lists this transfer RNA (84 nucleotides) under Yarrowia lipolytica CLIB122. RNAcentral describes it as "tRNA YALI0_B08580r". It matches the Rfam family "tRNA". Rfam says of the family: Transfer RNA (tRNA) molecules are approximately 80 nucleotides in length. Their secondary structure includes four short double-helical elements and three loops (D, anti-codon, and T loops). Lineage: Eukaryota; Fungi; Ascomycota; Dipodascomycetes; Dipodascales. The record is from RNAcentral.